This is a non-coding RNA of Phrynosoma platyrhinos (Desert horned lizard), 72 nucleotides long. The record is from the annotation of a GenBank genome assembly. NCBI's taxonomy places the organism in Eukaryota, Metazoa, Chordata, Lepidosauria, Squamata, Phrynosomatidae.
GACCUAGUAUGGUGUAGUGGUUUGAACACUGGACUACAACUGGAGACCAGGGUUCAAUUCCCUGCUCUGUCA